Long non-coding RNA from Gallus gallus (chicken), 3526 nucleotides. RefSeq lists it as uncharacterized. The record is from RefSeq and is a predicted model, not a curated record. The transcript is spliced from 2 exons. Lineage: Eukaryota; Metazoa; Chordata; Aves; Galliformes; Phasianidae.
GGUUUAUUAACCAGCCCUGUUGUACCCCAGAGAUACGUGGGUCUGUCCUGUGCAAGAAGAGGGCAGGUCUCACUCUGCUGCAGCUUUUCCUUUGCGAUCCUUUUGGGGCUGUGCUAUUCAGGUGGGUACUGCAGCAGCAACACAAGCAGAACUGCUUCCAAGUGGUGGUGGUGGUGGUGGGGCUGUGGCUGAAGUCACACUGGUUGCACCGAGGUCCCUGGGCACACGUUGGUAUGCGAUGGAGGGCUGCCAACCACUUGCAGUGUCUGCUCUCUGUGCUGGUGCACCCAGCACAAGGCGUAGAUGUCUGCCUCAGCACUCCCUGCAGCAGAGCCUUCUUGGGGCCCUGGGGCUCUGAGCACAUCAGCGCUGUCCUUGCAUGGCUGGCCCUGAACUUCCCUAAAGCACACAGCUGAAAAUUCUUGGGGGAGGAGGGGGAAGAUUUUUCUGUUUUAAAUCCGGAGUGCCUGCAGCUAAUCCUUGGGAAACAGGUUCAGCAGCACCAGCAAGGGCAGGAGAGCACUGCCUGGCUGCGAUGAUGAUUGCAUCAGGGCUCUGUGUGUUCCCAUGGACCACUGGUGUAGGACGAGCCAUUGGUUGGAUAAUCCCAAUUUCACCCUUUUUUUCCCUUCCGUCCUUUAAAAAUGGCCUGAUAAGUGUGGCACGGCACAGCCUGCACCUCUGCCAGAGUGCCUUGGGGCUCGUGUUCUGUGCUCCUCCAUUCUGUGCUCCUGACGGCCCUCCUGCUCUCUGCCAGCCUCUGUCCGGGCUGCCUCACUGCUUCAUGAACUCCAGUUUGCCUUUCUUGGCUAGAAAACGGAUUAAGCUAGCAGGACAGGAAAAUUAAUGAGCUGCCAUUUUAAGGAUGUAGCUUUUGUUGUGGUCCGAAGUGUUCUGAAGUGACAUUGCGCCACUGAGACACACGGACUGAUCGGCAGGCCUUUACCUGCUGGAGUGCCCCAUCUAUUCGUGCUGUGGUCCUCCCCCAGGUGAUGAAGGCUCCAAGGUGACCCUCGAGGCCGAGCAGCCAGGAGGAGGUUUUGAGGAGGUUUUGCCUUCUCUGCUGGUUGUGGCCGAGGAAAACCGGCACCGACGUUUUCUGCUUGUUUAACAUUCAGAACAGCUUUUCUGUGCCCUUCCCCUGGGUGCUGGCUGCCUGCCAGGCCUGGGGACAGCGGGAAUUGCAUGGGGAGCUGCAGGAUUCAGUUCCCACCGCGGGGGGGGGGGGGGACCUUUGUGACAGCCAGACCUGGAACCAACGUGUGCCAUUGAAGUCCUUUUCCGAAGAGGUUCUGCAGUUCUGCCCUCACUGAUCCCUCACAGCGCUCCCCACCAGAGAUCCCCCAGCCCAGCCCCUGGCAGGGAACGAUCUGUGACACAAUGAAUGCAGAUUAUCAGCUCUUUUUCUUUUUUCUUCCUUUUUCCCCAGGAUUUAAUGUAGUAGAAACAUGGCAUCCCGCAGCCAAAUCACUUGAAGGCGGUAGGAGAGUGUUGGGUGAGGCUGAAACUUCCUAUUUGGUCUCAUCCAAGGGGCUGUUGGCACAAUUUAGGUUUGCUUUUGAAGAAGGCCGGCUUAUCUGUGAGGAACUGCCAUGCAGGUGCCGGAUGCAGACAGCUGUGGCAGCACAGGAAGCAGAUGAAGGGUGAGUCUGCUGCUUUCUUCACUCUGUAGUUAAGCAAGCUCCUCUAUUUUGAUAUCUUUCCAACCUUCUCCAAAAGAAAAGCAGAACAGGCAGUGCAAAGGGCUCUUGCUCAAGUCUGUGAUUGGAACUACCUCCAGCCUGGAAGCAGUCUGCCUGUUCCCCCAGCAGCUGUUGCAAUAGCAGCCCUUGCUGGAGCCUGUCCUUGCGGGUAGGCUGGGCUAGGAAAGCCUUUGCUAUGGUUAAACGGAAGGCAGACAACAUGUUGGCUAAGGAUUGCCAAGGCAGAAAACCACAGGUCAGUAACAUUUUCAUCCAGAGUGUCUUCUUUAGCUCCUUGCAGCAUGUUAUUUUCAUUCCGUACACUGAUCUUAUCUCCCAGUAAUGAACACCGGGCCAGACACUUUCACACAGAGCAGCCAUAAUUAAGGCAAGAUCACUUACUGUUGAUACAGUCACUUCAAUAUGCUCUCACUGGGGAUUUCCUGCAGCAGUCUCCGGGUGAGAAAUGAAAAGAGCAGUCCCAAACACUUUUAAGAUAUCAGUUUUUAUUGGACGUUGCAAGAUCAAUAAGAAAAAAUAAUUUGUACAGCUUUGUACACCAUUGCUGCUGAAGAGUAAGGCUACCUGUCACACAACAGAGACCUGGUGCAGCCAACAGGGUGCUCCCAGCAUGACUCACAUCUGAUGUUUUUCUCCAAGAAUGACUUACAAUUGUCAGAUGGUAGCACCACCCACCUUGGACAGGCCUGUGUAGCCUUACCAUAGCACAAAUGGGGCUUCCUAGACAUAUAAGGUGAGCAGCCUUGCUCUGAGAUACCCUCUCCCAGCGGCUCACUGCCAACCAGUUGCAGGAUCAGUCUGGUACAAUGCUUACAGACCUUCGGCCUCGCUUUUCCCCUCCCUGACACCAGCUAGGGGGGAACCAGAACACUUAAGGUUUUGAUUGGCAGAGUAACCCUUUCCAACCAAACCCAGAUGUUUAAGAGUGAUUGUAGAGCAGCAGCUACGGGUAUUGCUCUAGCACUGGGGCACCCAAUCCAUAGGAUGGGCAGAGCUAGAAAGAGAGGCUUCAGUUUACACGGUAGUUUUGCUAAGCUUUUUGCCUUUGACAGUUCUUAGCUGUUUAAAAAACAAGUGCUAGGUCAAAAGGCUGAUUUUGCAUGGAGGCAGUGAGACAUUAUCCUCGGACUAUGCAAAAUUCUAGUUGGCCCCAUCAGUAUCUCGCACUGCCCUCUCUUUGCUGUGGCAGGUAGGUGGGAGAAGAGUGUUCCACUGCUGGACUGAAGUGCCAGACCAAGGAAAACAUUAGCAUUGAUUCAGCCCCUAAGAGGAGAUCAUAAUUUAGAAGUCAGUAGUUAAGGACCGUAUCAUCUGUCCUAAUAAACGCAAUCAAGACAGUCAUUUUAAAUCACCAAAGGGCUCAGCUAGAAAAAGAAAUCAAUUUUAAUGGCUCUGUAGACAGAAAAGGGGGGACUGUACUAUAAUUAGAUGAAUACCUGUACUGCAUUAAUGCCAGUAAACAGAUACAGGUGCUGGACCUUACCCCUUGUAACCUUUACAGAAGGGACACUGUUUACUGAUACUUAAAUACCUCUCACAGAAAAUGGGAAGUAGUAUCUGGUGCCAUUCUGAGGUACUAACACACCAUUCAGCCAUCUGUAUGCACAGUCAAAGAACAAAAAUGCAGUGGGUGAACAAAUUGAGCAUAGUAGAUGUGAUCAGCAGUGAGCUGCCUCCCCCACGCAGGCACCAACUGUACAGCCACGUCCCAGGUAAAUGGGGAGGGGGGGCAACACAGGACAGUCUGCUUUUAAAGAAAGGAGGGCAACAAGGAAAUAAUGUGAUAAUGAAGAAUUAAGGAGAAAAGAAAAACAAAACAAAAC